CCUAGGUCUUCACUAUGCCCAAAAGGUUUUCUCUCUUCUUUAUUACAUGGAAGAUGGUUGUGGAUCAAAUCAAAGUAGGAAUAAGUUUGAAUUUCAAAUUCUAUGAAAUAGAAUUUUAGAAAUCCAAAACUCUUUCCUUUUUGCACCAAUUUUACUCAGAUUUUUUCUGAAAUUUUUGUGGCUUUUAUGGCACUUGAUAGGUGCCCUUUGCUAUUGGUCCAUGCACAAAAAGGAGGGGGCAUCCAAGAGUUGGG
Molecule: long non-coding RNA, 254 nt
Filed under: Elaeis guineensis (African oil palm)
Lineage: Eukaryota; Viridiplantae; Streptophyta; Magnoliopsida; Arecales; Arecaceae
Description: long non-coding RNA (EGUI_LNC060471)
Source: RNAcentral